GUGGGGAAUCUUGCGCAAUGGGCGAAAGCCUGACGCAGCCAUGCCGCGUGAAUGAUGAAGGUCUUAGGAUUGUAAAAUUCUUUCACCGGGGACGAUAAUGACGGUACCCGGAGAAGAAGCUCCGGCUAACUUCGUGCCAGCAGCCGCGGUAAUACGAAGGGGGCUAGCGUUGCUCGGAAUUACUGGGCGUAAAGGGCGCGUAGGCGGACAGCUUAGUCAGAGGUGAAAGCCCAGGGCUCAACCUUGGAAGUGCCUUUGAUACUGGCUGUCUUGAGUUUGGGAGAGGUGAGUGGAACUCAGAGUGUAGAGGUGAAAAUCGUAGAUAUUCGGAAGAACACCAGUGGCGAAGGCGACUCACUGGCCCAAUACUGACGCUGAGGCGCGAAAGCGUGGGGAGCAAACAGGAUUAGAUACCCCUGUAGUCC
Molecule: ribosomal RNA, 425 nt
Filed under: uncultured bacterium
Lineage: Bacteria
Description: partial 16S ribosomal RNA
Rfam family: Bacterial small subunit ribosomal RNA
Source: RNAcentral